AAAAUGCGAUAAGUAAUGUGAAUUGCAGAAUUCAGUGAAUCAUCGAAUCUUUGAACGCACAUUGCGCCCGCCAGUAUUCUGGCGGGCAUGCCUGUUCGAGCGUCAUUUCAACCAUCAAGCCCCGCGCUUGUGUUGGGGACCUGCGGCUGCCGCAGGCCCUGAAAACCAGUGGCGGGCUCGCUGUCACACCGGGCGUAGUAGAUUUUAUCUCGCUCAGGGCGUGCUGCGGGUUCCGGCCGUUAAAAAGCCUUUUUUACCCAAGGUUGACCUCGGAUCAGGUAGGAAGACCCGCUGAACUUAAGC
This 303-nucleotide unclassified non-coding RNA is filed under the name plant metagenome. Its description in RNAcentral is "partial contains 5.8S ribosomal RNA, internal transcribed spacer 2, and large subunit ribosomal RNA". The stretch from base 1 to 105 matches the Rfam family "5.8S ribosomal RNA", at positions 50 to 154 of the family's 154-position model. The record is from RNAcentral.